AGUUAAUAAAGGUAUAAUAAGACAAAAUUUAAAUGCUAUCAUUUUUUCUUUCUUUCUUCUUCAACCGUCUAUGAAGAAAAUGGGCAGCCAUGGAUGAGAAAACAUUCGGCCAAGUUUCUAUGGCCCAUCUAGAUCCCGGAAAACGAGAUUUGGACCUAGAACGGGAGAAAAAUUGAAAAUCGAGAAAGUUGAUCAAAUGGACGUUUUGGUAUUGAGGCAAGUUCAUGUGUUUAAUAUGCAUUUAAUUAAGCAUGUUUGAAUGCUAAAUUGAUAUAUUAGUUAUAAAUGCUUUAGUAUUGAUUUUUGAAUAUAAUGAUAAUAGUUGAGAAAUGUUCGAUAAUGAUUCGACAUUAAAAAUGAGAAUUCGAAUAAGUUUACAUAUAAGACCAUAGUUGUAAUGUGGCUUUGUAUAAGAUCAAGAAAAUAUUGAAUAGCAUAAUUUGAGGAGAGUAAGAUAAAUUGAGGAUAUGAUGACAUUGAGAAUGUAAGUAUGUAAGUUGAGUAGCAUUUUAUUAUUAUGCAAUUGUUGCUAUUAUUAUUAUUGAGUUAUGUGACUGACCUUGAAAAUUUGAGCAAGUAUGUUUCAGCUAUGAUUUGUCAAGGCAUUGAUAUCUCAAGGUCCAUGUUUAUAUCAUGGCAAUUAAGAAAGAAUUGACGGAAAAGACCAUGGUUGGACCAUGGCAGUGAGUGUGCCAGUGUAAGACCAUGUCUGGGACAUGGCAUCAGCACAGUCCGACGAGUGCUAGUGUAAGAUCAUGUCUGGGACAUGGCAUCGACACGGACAGAGAAGAGUCAGUGUAAACCAUGUCUGGGACAUGGCAUCAGCUCGAGAUGAGUGCUAGUGUAAGACCAUGUUUGGGACAUGGCAUCGGCAUGGACAGAGAAGAGUCAGUGUAAGACCUUGUCUGGGACAUGACAUCGGCUCGAGAUGAGUGCUAGUGUAAGACCAUGUCUAGGACAUGGCAUCGGCACCGAUAUGUGAUCCCAUGUAAGACCAUUUCUGGGAUAUGGCAUUGGCAGUACAAGAAACAUCCUAUGUAAGACCAUUCCAAGGCAUGGCAUUGGUGAGUUCAUAAGGCAAGGAUACCACGUAAGACCAUGUAAAGACAUGGCAAUGGUAAGUUUCAAAAAGAAAGGUACUUGAGUAAUCCAAAGAAUAAUUCAGAGAGAUGACAAGGUAAGAUCAUGAGGAAAGAGUACAGGUAUGUACAUAAGGCUUAAUAAUAUUGAGGUUAUAAGUUGAUGAUAUUAAAAGUAUUUUAAUGAGUAUAUUCAAGUAUUAAGUAAGUGAUAAGUUUUCAAUUAUACUUAUGACGCUUUGUGACAUGAUUGGCAAUAUGUCUAUAUUAUGAAAGAGUAUUAAUGUGUUAAAUGAGAUUUUGCAGGUGCGUAAGCAAGCUAUUAAGUAAGGUGCUUUAUUUUUUUUAUCCUGAGCUUUUGGUAAGGUUACCGAUGAGUAAGAUGGGAAAGUAUGAACUUAGCAUUAUUUAUGCAAAUUAUGAAAGCUUAGUAAUAAGCUAAAUUCAUUACUAAUGAUUGUUAUUUUACAUGUGAACUUACUAAGCUUUAUAAGCUUACCUCUUUCCUUUCUUUUGUUCCAAAGUCUUAUCAAACAAGCUCUCGUUGGAGGUCGUGGAAGAUCGCUUCACACUAUCAACUAUCAAGUUACCAAUUGGGUAUUUUCAUUGACAAACGUUUUAAGUUAUGGCAUGUAUAGGGUGUAAUCACUGAAUUUUGUUCGGCUCGAUUUCGUGUUUUUUUAAAUAAAAAAAAUACAAAAAAUAACAAAUUACAUUUUGACCCAUAAACUUUUUGAAUUUGCAUUUUAACCUUUAAAUUUUCCUAAAAUUACAUUUUGACCCAUAAACUUUUUGAAAUUACAUUUUGACCCCUAAGUUUUCUCAAAAUUUUGUUUUGGCCCCAGAAGUUUUGCUACGUUCGCAUUUUGGUCCUUCUGACAGCCAAAUGCGAUUUGCGCACCUACUCCCCGAUUUUUCGGCCACCGGCCUAGGGCAUGGCCUCCCUCCUCCCUAGCCACCUGCUCCCUGCAAAAAGAAGUAAAGAAAACAUCUAUAAAAGGGGCUUAAAACCCCAAAAUCACAACACCCACUAAUCAAAAAAAAAGAAAAGAAAAAGAAUGUUUCAAAAGAAUUUUUCAGCAGCAAAAAGAAAGAGGAGAAAGAGGAAGAGGAAAGGAAGAAAGAGAGGGGAGGAGCGACGGCGGUGCAGCGGCGGCGUGAAGGAGGCCGGACGGAGAAGAAGAGAAAAAAAAAGAGAAAGAAAGAAGAAAGAAAAAGAAAAAAAGAAAAAAGAAAAAAGAAAAAGAAAAAAGAGAAAAAAAUUAAAAAUAAAAUAAAUUUUUUCUACAUAGUCGGGUCGUCCGACCCGACCCGCCACCUGCAGACCCAGGCCAAGCCCAGCAGCCCAAAGAAAAAACAAAAAAAAGAGGCAAAAGCAAAAAAAAAAAAAGAAAAGGAAACAGGCCAAAAACAGCCCAAGCGCAGGCCCAACCCAACGCUAGGCUCAACAGCAGGCCUAGCAGGCCAGCUAGCCCAACGCCAGCAGCAGGCCAAUAGCCCAGGCCCAAAGGCAGCAGGCCAAAAAAGAGGAGAAAAAAAAGAGAAAAAAAAAGAAAGAAAAAAGGAAAAAAGAAAAAAAAAGAAAAGUUCAAUUUGUGUAACUCGUUCGACGAAGCUCCUGUUUUGAGAUCUUUUCGGUAGUUUCAUUUAUUUCUCUUUUAAUUUAAUGCUCGUAUUUUUAUGUUAUUUCAUUUUAAUAUUAUUAGUAUUUUAUGCAUUUUUAUAUUUUUGUAUUUAUAUUUUUAAUUUAAUUCAAUUUUAUUUUUAUUUUUUAAAAUAA
Gossypium raimondii (Peruvian cotton) is the source of this 2859-nucleotide long non-coding RNA. RefSeq lists it as uncharacterized. NCBI's taxonomy places the organism in Eukaryota, Viridiplantae, Streptophyta, Magnoliopsida, Malvales, Malvaceae. The transcript is spliced from 2 exons. The record is from RefSeq and is a predicted model, not a curated record.